Molecule: long non-coding RNA, 4605 nt
Organism: Coturnix japonica (Japanese quail)
Lineage: Eukaryota; Metazoa; Chordata; Aves; Galliformes; Phasianidae
Source: RefSeq, a predicted model, not a curated record
CAUAAAACAAAGUUGUUAUGUCUCAUUUAUAAUUGUUCAGCCUCGCUAUUUGAUUUGCAAGUAGACACAGUCACUAUAAUAUCCUGCUGGGUUGUUUUACAGUUCUAGAUGUACCCAGUUAUAGCGUCUGCGUGUUCCAUACACACCUUACAGUGAAAACAUUACUUAUAUUGCUGAUUCAUCUCAAAUCUUUUCUCAAGCUGCACUGAAACCUCACAGUCUGUCCUUUGGCCUUAGAAGGAGCCCAGUACCACCUGGGAUAUCUAUUUUUGUCUUCUGAAAGAGUAUUCUAGAACAGCAAGUUCUUACCCCAAUAUACAAAGGAUCUCCAGUUGGUUUCCAUUACCAGGACUGCACACAGCAGAAGAACAAAGUUCUGUGACCUCCAGGGAUUGGCCUGUUCAGGGAUUUCAAGGCAGAAAGGUUCAUCACCUUCUGAAAAACAUAAAGUCAGAGGGUGAGUUAUGGACAUACAGUACCAGCAGUGCCACAGCAUUUAACAUACCAUAUAAAGAUUCUAGACUGGAAAAGGGGAGAUUCCCUAUAUAUACCAACACUGAUUUUCAGCCUUAGGAAAGCAGCCUUCACCAUUAGAUAAUUAGUGAUCUGAGUGCCAUCCUUCUGUAUUCUACAGGCCUGAGUAGCUGCACUAGCGGACUGUCCCUUCCCAGCUCCCAUUCUGGCUUCACUGAAGUUUAGAUAAGCAGCCAGUUGAUGACAGCUCACAAGGAGGAUUUUUAAUUCUUGGCCUUAACAUUAAAAUAGAAAAAGAAAAAAGGUGAUUCUUUAUUUCCCAUGGGAAUUAUUUUAGCUUUAAGUUAAGGCUGUAGAAUAAGGACUACAUGGCAUUCCUGAUAUUAGUGCUUAGCAGUCAAAAUACCCUCAAGGGUUAAAAAGCAAAACAUAAUUAGCAGCAUCUUAGGAGUACAUCAUUAAAUUUGCAUCUUUGUCAUUAGUAUAAGAUGGGUAUUCUGAGCAUACAAUCAGAUUCCAUUCCCUACCACAUUAUAAACAUUAGCUCAUGCUCUUCACAUUUCAAAGGUCUUUCACAAGGCUUCUGUCUGAGGUCCUCAGUUGGACUUGCAGCCUGCUUGCAGGGUUUUAUGGAUCCCCAUUCAGAUUCACAGGUGUAUUUUCAAUUGUGGGGUGUCUGGGUUUAUUUUUUAGAUGAUUGACAAAUCUCAUGCAACAAAAAAAAAAGUCCAUUAGAUGAUGAUGCAUUUUCCACUGGCAUCACAAAGAAGAGUCUGAAGGGAAUCUCUGGAGCUGAGACUGAACCCUCCUUAUUUUUGCGUAGCAAAUUCUGCAGGAAGAGCUCCACUGACUUGCUAGGGAUGUGAUGUAGGGUCACUAGUCCUGCGGUCAGUAAGAUACACAACUCUCUGUAAAACAUCAGUCAAAUGUAAAUUCUUGCACACUCACUGAUCAUUUGUGGAGAGUAAGAUGCUUUUCAGUAGGGCUGGGAACAGAAUAUUUUCUGCUCCCCUCAGACUCACCUUCUAAGGCAGGUCCUCUCUAGCUCUGUUCCUGUUUGAUUUCAGCUGGCCAAGGGAGAAAAGUUGGAAGACGUUGAAGUGGUGUCUGACCCACCAGAUGAGAGUGCAUCUCUAGAAGUCACUGUGGAGGCAUCCUGCAGUGUCAUAAACUUGCAUGAGGCCAACCCCAACAAACCCAGGAGAAGAUUUCUAGCAGACUACAACCUUGGAUACCAAAACAGAGCAAAUGAAACUCUCUAUAUAAAAUAUGAGGAUUGGAUCGCUAAGAGGAUAAUGAACAGGUUCUUAAGGAAAAAAAAGGUAAAAUCGUUUUGCUGACCAGAAAAAAAUAGUUCUUUUUAAUCCCCUUUGUGUGCCGCUGCCUCUCCUGCAAUAUCUAACUGAAGUUUUCCUGGAUUUAGUCAAGCAUAACCUUUCUUUUUCUUGGUUCUAUUAGCUGGCAAGGUAUGCGGAAAAAGUGUUUCAUUUUAUUGGGUUUUGUGCAACACAAAAAUGAAAACAUCCCUUCAUGAUUGUACUGUGACCUAUCCUACAGGUAACAGGUUCAUGGCUUCCUUGGGGAAGUAGUCUUUUAAUUAUCUGUCACAAACACCAUGCUCAUGUAAAGUAUGAGGAAUAUACAUCUCCAUAAGGGAUGUAUGCUUGUGAUUAAAUAUAUGGAGGAAACAUUAGGGACCUCCACAUGGUCUGGUCAUCUGAGGUGCUUUGGAGCACUGUUUUCCUCAGCAUUAUGAAGGCCUUACAGAUGUACAGACAAUGUGGACAAAUGCCCUUCACGCCAUAGCUCGUCUCCAGCUGUGAGUUGGUAAUGCACAUAAGAGAUUCACAUGGAUUUGUCUGGAGCCAAACACAAGUCACAGGUAGCAAUGAGGAGAGGAUGGCUCAGGAACCUCAGAGGAUGAGCUCUGGGAAGGCACAUGGAUAUUGGCAGCCAAGACAAACCUCCCCCUCCUCUCCCGACCCCUACUAGGGCUGGCGUGGGGCUGCAGGUUCUUGGGUAUGUGCGCUUUGUGGGUAUGUGUCUGGGGCGCUUUGCACAAGGUGAGCCCUCUCUGUGAGCCCUAGAGACUUUAAAAUGCUAUAAGAAGCUUUUUAAAUGAAAACUGAGACACUGAUAAUCCCACGUGGCUGUUGGACACUAAACCAACAGUAUCUGAGUCUUAGUUUAGCUCUUGUAACUGGUCAGAAAAUCUUAUAGGCCCAAUAGUGAUCACAAAGCCCAUAACUUUAUAGCCAGAAAUUAUGAAAAAAUUGUAAUAAAGCAACAACAAAUCCUUAAUUAUUUUAAUGUCAGAUAAUUCUGACAUUACCGAUUCCUCCUGCUUACGUGUAGCAUCCAGAGCUUGAAAUUCCUCUAAAUGGGUGCCUGUCACUCUUGUUCCACAAUUGUGUGGGUAAAACCCAACAAGAUGAGUUUAACUUCUGAAAAGGUGAAAAGCCCUUUAGGUCUCUGCAGGAUACUUUACUGAACAGAAAAGCUGUGCUUUAGAAUCCAGCUUAUUAAAAUGGCAAAGUCAAGGACUGUCAAAACCAUGGCAAAUGCUGUGAGCCUGUCAUACUGAAAUUGUAGGGCCAGAUGGUGAGAAACUUUCCCGCUGGUCAGGGAACUUUCUGAAGGCUCAAUUACUUAUGUCAGAUUUUUAUUGUUAUUAUUUAGAUUUUUUAUUUUAUUUUUUCAUUUUGGAGGAUAAGGACUAAACUGGGAUUACCUCUCAUUUGUCAUAGGCUUAAGGCAUUUAUCACCUAGUAUACACCAGCUGCUUUGUAGUAAUGUGAAGUCCUGGAAUAACCUUUUCAUUUGAAAAUGCCUUUGGUAAAGGAAGGUCUGUUUACUUGAUGUGCGUUCUAUGUACCUCCACAAUCUUAGCAAAGCAGAACUGAAAUGCAGUGGCACGGAUUUUGUUAUUUUCUUAAGAGAUGUGAAGUAACAGAAUGUUUGCAGGACAGUCCUAAUCAAACACAAAGGAUGCCUGAAAGAAUAACCAGUGCUGAAUACAGACUAAUCACUGACCUGGCAGCUGGUUUACUAUGCUGAUAGCGCUCUUCAACCAACCAUACCAGGCCCCAGGAAUCUUUAUCCAGCUGCUUUGCUUUCCCCUGUAUUUUGAAGGCAUGUCUUGUGACCUGUCACUUGCUAGAUGUGUUUGAUGUGAAAUUUGAGUCUGUCCGUAGUAAAUCUUACUGCAGGAAUGUGCUUAUUUUGCUCUCUGCUGGAGGUAAUGCUGAAUAGUUUAGUUUCCAGUUUUGUUGACGUUUCAGGUCCGGUUUGUGUUGUAAAGGUGAUAAUCACAUUUUAGGAGGAAAAUUGGCAUGCGUGGUCUACAAAUAGGAGACCCACAGCCUGCAGCUUUGCUUUAGCUUCCCCCUGCCUGUGGCUGCCUACAGGGAAACAGGACAUUUGUGUGAAGCUCACGGGAGGAGCGGUGCUAAAAAUACUGAUGGGCAAGUUCACAGCUAAGGUUGCUGAGGAUCUGUUAACUUCCCAACCAGUCAGUACUCCCAGCACAUCUCAAGAAGAGAUUUAGAGAUGGACGAGGUAAUUUGCAGAGGCAGUAAUCCCCAUAAGAUCAAGGAAAUCUAAUAGUUUUUCCUUCACAUCCCUCCAACUCUUCAUUUCUCCCUUCACAAAUGAGGAAGAAGCCACUACUAUUCAACCACGGGGCUUAAACUGAAGAUAUAGCUCUCCAGACAAAUCGCUAAACCUCAGUCUACCUCAGCCCCGACCACUACUCUGAGAUCUGAUAAGCUCCCAUUCUACAAGCAGGCAGUACCAGGUGCUGUAAAGGUACACAAGCUGCGAUAGGAGAAUGACCACAGGAAGAUAAAUCACUGAAAAAGAACAGCGUAUAAACGAAGCAUUGUUUGAAACAGGUUAAGCACGCUUUGCUAUGGACUUAUCAGCUAACUUCCCUCUACCUGCUCAUAUUAAAGAUGAUGGAUUCACUGAACACCACAGCACAAAAGCAGUACGGGAACUGGCCUGAGAAAGACCCUUCUGACCCUGACACCUGCAUGUGGAAAGCUCUUUCAUAAACAACCAGUACAAGGAAGCUGAUCAGCCUUGUCCAAAUGACCAAAAGUAUGUUCAACUCACUUCAUGAGUGUACAC